GUCUAUGGCCAUGCCACCCUGAACACGCCUGGUCUCGGAAGCUAAGUAGGGUCAGGCCUGGUUAGUACUUGAAUGGGAGACCACCUAAGAAUACCAGGUGCUUGUAGGCU
RNAcentral lists this ribosomal RNA (110 nucleotides) under Pteropus alecto (black flying fox). Lineage: Eukaryota; Metazoa; Chordata; Mammalia; Chiroptera; Pteropodidae. The record is from RNAcentral.